AAAAGGCCUAUUAAGACCUAGUGCUUUGCUUCUGUUAAUUCUUCAGCGUCCUCAGAGGAAUCAUUAAGUAGAAGUUUAAAGACUCAGAGAUUUCGAGGUAAGCCCAAGCAACAGCAAACAUGGAGUGGAGAAAUGCAAAUGUUAGUAGAAGAACCUACAGUAUUGUUUAAAACUACCUUAAAUGGUAAACAGCUUGGUCGAUCCUGAUAUGCAUCAAUUAAUGCAAAUUGGAGUGAUGGACCAAAUUUUAGCAGGCUGAAAACAAGAAUUAAAAAAGAUACUUCCCCAAAAAACAGAAAAUCAAAAAACCCCCACACACAUAGAAACCAACCUUAUUGAAACAUCAGAGCACUGCAAAUGUAGUCAGAUUUCUCUCAGUUACCCUUUAAGAUUAGAAUUUCUGAUAUUUUUAUCCCAAAGAACUCCAUAGUAUUUAAAAAUCAACUGAAAGACAACCACAGAGAAGAUUAAGUCCAAACAAGCACUACAACUUAUGUCCAGAGAGACUGUAAUGGAAUAUUAUAACUUUCAUGGAAACAGCUUUAAUGAAAAAGACGUUGAGCAAACAUCAUAAAACUCUGCCAAAUUCUGGAAAAACCAUUACUAAUGCUCCUAGCAGAUUGUCUUCAAAACAGGCCUCAACCUCCAUUGGGUCGGAGCUUCCUGCAUUUUCACCAGAUGUAGUGAGUUUAAAUUCUGUUGUUAAAACAAAUCCUGGAAAGAAGAGGCCUAAAACUGUGACAGUAUCAAAAAGGUCAAGUGUUGGAAGCAUGUCUCAGGAUCAAUGGGAUCGACCAGUUAUUCCACCAAGAAGACCAGGUUUAAGGGUGUGCUAUAUCUGUGGCAAAGAAUUUGGUUCAAAAUCUCUUCCUAUUCAUGAACCAAAAUGCCUGGAGAAGUGGCAUAUUGAAAAUGACAAACUACCUAAACGUCUCAGGAGACCACCACCAGUAAAACCUCAGGCUCUUUCUGGAAAGUCUUCUGGUAUAGUGGCUGAAAAUGAAGCAGCAGCUCAAAGUUUUCAAGCUCAGCUCCAGCCCUGUCAAAACUGUGGUCGCACUUUCCUCCCAGAUCGCCUCCUUGUACAUCAAAAGAGUUGCAAACUGAAGUCUAAUCCAGGUUCUUCAAACUCCAAAUUGCUUACAUCUACAGGUUAUGGGGCAUCGUCAUCAGACAAGUCUCCCAUGAUAAGGCGGCCUCCUACAGUUAUUUGUUAUAUUUGUGGCCGUGAGUAUGGAACGCAUUCCAUAGGCAUCCAUGAGCCACAGUGCCUGAAAAAAUGGCAUAUUGAGAACAAUCAACUGCCAAAGCAUUUGCGAAGACCUGAACCUGUAAAGCCAGUUGUCAGUUCCAUAGGAGCCAAAGGUUACUAUGAUCUUGAUGCUUUAAAUGAGUCUGCUUGGCAAAGUGCCCAGAGCCAGCUAGUUCCAUGUGGUAUUUGUGGCCGUACCUUCCUGCCAGACAGACUGAUUGUCCAUCAGCGGUCCUGUAAACCAAAGAUACCAAAAUAAAGCUCUCCUCAUGUUAAGGAUUUAAAGGACAAAAUUGUUCUCUCACCUCUAGAACAAAAGUUUCAACACUGAAGAAUCAUUGAACCAUAUAGAAUCAUUCCAAGUCUGCUCUGCAUAAAAUUAAUGUACUAUUGAUUAUGUGAGUGACAUAUGGGACAUGGGGCACCUGACAGUGUUUUGCAGCAAUUAUUGAUGAGUGGCUCAUAAGGACAAAAAGAACCUUUAUGGAAACCUCUGCAAGAUGGAGCCUUCACAGAAAGGACAGUGGCCUUCGUGCUAUUCAUUGAUUACUGUUCUUCUAAGUAUUGCAAUGUCUGUUAAGAAAUGGUUUUGUUUGAUAGACUCCUCAUUUAGUAAAUCAUGUAUAAGAAUGUUUAUUUUUAGUAAUGAAUUUUCUGUUUAAGGGAUCAAUCGGCAGCAACAUAAGGACCAUACAAGUUUUGAUAGCCUUCAUCAAAAGUGGGUAUAAUCAAAUUUUCCUUUUCAAAUACAUUGUAUAUUGGUUCUGAAUGUCUUGGGGGAGAAAGGUCAACUGUUCCAGAUAAUUCCACUCCUCUUAGCCCCUUGUUUAACAUGAAAUUUCUGGGUCAGUUUGAGGUCUAUUCUGGUUCUUCACUUCAUACAACUACAGCUACCUGAGGGAAGAGACUUAGUUUACAUUUGCUGGCCUUCCUGUGCCAUGAUCUUGUAGCCAUUGCCUUUUACAAGAUAGAAAAAAUCUUUGAAGGCUGUUUACAUACCUACAUGGAUGUGAGUGUGGAUGAUGAUUGAAAAGAUUUGUAUGAUACAAUGCAGAAUAGUAUCAAUCCCAAAACCAGUUUUGUAUGCUACUUCCCCAACACCCAUCCUAGGUUAUUGUUUACUGUGGAAUACCAGCACAAUAAAUGGGAACCUUGUUUUAUGCUCACAGGUUAUAAUGUUGUGCAGAAGGUUUGCUGCUCUUUGAGAUUCCCAGUUUGAAGGGCAGAAGACAGAAUUCAAAGUGCCAGAAAAAAGGAUGGAUGAUGCCGGAAUUCUCUUCAGAAUUCAGAUAAAAUGUUUUAAGAAGCUGAUGGUUAUUGGAAAAUAAGUGCUGAAAUCCAAUCCUGGAUGUUAAAUAAUACCAUGAAGAUGACUGCAAUAAAGGAAGGAAUAAUAUAUUUUGAGUUUUCAUCUUCAUGUCCUAAAGCUGCUUGUAGGUAUUUAUAACAAAUUGGACAAUUUUAAGAAAAUUGUCACCAGCAUCUGUUUUCAAAUGAAGUGUGCUGGAGGUCUCCAUGCAAUAAAGGAAGCUAGCUGAGAGCCAAUUGUUUCUCACUGCUGAGCUAUCAUGUUUGCCUUCUAAUGAAAACAAGAAUAAUAUUAAAAGUUAUGAUAUAUAUGUAUUUAAAAAAUCAAAAUCACCUAGCCUGAAAAGAAGUUUAUUUAAAAUGGUCCACAAAUUCCAUAUUAUUUGAGAAAAAUAUUUUUUAGGUCUAUUAGUGAUAUUUCAGUAAACCUUUUAAUCUGUAUGAAGGGAAAACAGAUUCAAUGUAUUAAGUCUAUAGGUCAGUUCCUCUUCUAAAAUUCUGCACUGCAUAAAUCCAAAUGAAAACCCAUGACUCUAAGGCAUUCAUUUCAAGCCAUGGAAAAAUUUUCUUAGGGCCAGUGCUUUUUUUUUUUGUAAAAAUAAAAGGUGCCAGAACUCACACAUGUCAUACAACCUGCCUUGCCUACCCUACAAGGUUCCAUCCAAAAAAGGUGCCCGAACUCCAUUCUGGGCGUUUUAUGACCAAAAAAAAGCCCUGCUUAGGGCUAUGAGUACAUAUGAAUAUCACUGAAAAGAGAAAGCAGAGAUGUUUUUUAUGCAAUCAUGCAGUUAGAGUUUAGAACUACCAUAUUUUCUAAAGCAUGCAAAUCGGCUCCGAAGUCAGGGGUCGUCUUAUACGCCAAGUCAUCUUAUACGCUGGAAAUUACGGUAGUUUCCAGCAUAUAAGACGACUUUCUAAGCAUGCAAAUCGUCUCCAAAGUCGGGGGUUGUCUUAUACGCCGAAUCGUCUUAUACGCCGGAAAUUACGGUAAUAGCCUGAAGUCCUGGAUAUUACAGCUCAGGCACCCUGGCAUUCACAUAGUGAUUUCCAGGGACCUACAAGUCUUCUUUGCAUACAAUAAUUCCCAUUUGUCUUCUCAAAUGUGGGCGAUGCUAUUAAAAAAGUCAAGAUGAUGUCAGCCCUGCCCUUUUGCUAUAUGCAUCCUAAACGUAGCACAUUUUUUUUACCUCCUUUGUCUUUUCCCUUAUUCCCGUACCUCCUCUGUCUCUUUCUUUAUUGGAUCUUUCCUUCCUUCCUUCCUUCCUUCCUUCCUUCCUUCCUUCCUUCCUUCCUUCCUUCCUUCCUUCCUUCCUUCUCACCUCCCUCCCUCCACUACUCUAUACAGUCUGCAGGCAAGAGCACCACAUAACACAUAUUGGCAGCAGUAACAACAGCUGGCUAUUGUCCACUUUUUGUAUUCAACAAAAGACAAACAAGGAAAAAAAAACAAUCUGCAAGAUAGGUUGAUUUCAAGAGAAUCACAGCAGAAGAAGGGUUUCAACAAGGGCCACAACAACAUAACUGCUAUGCCACUAGUUGUGGAAAUAAAAAAAUACCACAAAACGUUCAACUGUAAAGAGAAACACCCCUUUGUAUACACCCCUUGCCCCACUGGACUGCCACCAUAAGAUUUGAACAGGGAUUCAAACUAAUUAAUGUUAUUAAUAUUAAUGAAUAAGAACAAGAUAAUAUUUAAAUGCAAAUUUUGUUUAGUUAAUUUCUCAAUAGUUGUAUAAAUUUAAAUCUUUUCUUCUACUGUAAUUAAAUUCUGGCAUUUUCAUUAUUGUAAUUAACUUCCAAUCAACAAAUAUUCAUGGGAUUCAGGAGACUCUCAGGAACAAUUCAAGUAACUGAAUUUGGAAAGAAAAUCAUGCAAACCUUAUUGGGCACUCAAUAAUAUCUCUGAAAUGGUAUUAAAAGGUAUAAAUGCUAGAACACAAAUGAGGAGAUUGCCUGUUAGAUAUAUUCUUAAGACAGAAUUUCAUUUCAUUCAGUAAUGUUUGACUCUCAAUAGAAGUUGUUUAAGACUUAAGAAAUUUAACAAAUAAAAUAAAUAAAUAAAAUAAGACUUCAUUGUUCCUGUUAACAUCUUCAAUGUACUCAGUAUAAUAUAGGAAAAAGGAAACAUGAAUUUAUUUUUAAACCAGUUACAUAAAUAUGUUUAAAUCAGCUGAAUUCAGAAAUAAUAAAUACGCUCCUCAUCAAAAAUUGUACAAGGAAUUAAUGCUCUGCAUAAAAUUUUUAAAUAUAAUUUUAAGAAUGAUUUUAAAUGCAAUAACUAAGUACUUAAUGUGGGCAGUGCAGUGGCCUAGAGGUGGAGCUCUAGCUUUAAAAUCAGGAGGCUUUGAGCUCAAUCCUAGGUAGCCUCAGAUAUUUCUCUCUCUGGGCUCAAUGAGUAAUUGCCUGCUGUGAACUCCACGUAGGUAUCAGGAAGGGCAUCCAGCCAGUAAAUGCUCAACUCCAUUCAGUCACCCUGACUCCACCCUGAUGCAAGGUAUUACAGGGUUGUUAAAAGAAAAAAAAACUAAAGACUUAAUGUAUGUAUGCACAGGGCAGGGCAAUGGCCUAGCGGUUAAGAUGCUGAGCUUGUCAGAAAACUGACAGCCCAGGUUUGAGACCCAAGUGCCAUAUCACAGGGUGAGUUCCUAAUAUUUGCCCCAGCUACUGCCCUUCUAGCAAUUUGAAAGCAAACAAAUAUAAGAAGAUAAAUAGAUUCUGCUUCAGCAGGAAGGUUACUGCAUCCCUUAUUUUCAUGCUGGCCACAAGAUGAUAGAAAUGUCUCUCAGACAAUGCAGGCUCUCUCAGCUGAGAACUGGAGAUGAGCAUCACACCCUUGAGUUGGUCAGGACUGGACAGAGGAAACCUUUCAAUCUAUACACAAUUGGAUAUGUUACCCUGGGAAAGAGCAGUAGUUUAGAAUUGACUAAACAAGAAUUGACUAGAAUUGACUACCUAUUAUUUCUCUCAUUUCUGCAUGCACGCACACAAACAUACACACACACAAAGUAGGCAGCAUGUGACAAAAGCUUAGCCAGUAGAAAGGGUGAAGAUUAAUUGCGUUUACACAUUGCAAUAGAAAUUGACACUAAUGCACAUGUGUAAAUAGUGUAUGUCAUAGAAUGUCCUUUGCAUUCCUUUUUUGCAAGCAUUUAAUCAUCUGGAAGAUUUUAUGCCCAUUUGCUAAUUGCUAUAUUUAUAGUUUCGGAAAUUUCUAUCUUUGCAUUCAGAACACUUGAGACCAAAGUCUGCAGACAUUUACUAACACCUUUUCUAAACAUCUUGCUAUAGGGCUUAAAUUAUCAUUAUAUUUCAGAAAGUAACCAAAAUUCAUUAGAGAGUCUAGAGUUAACAAUAUUUGAGGAAAUAAUUCUGGAAAGCAAUUGUAAAAAGAAAAGUCUUUUGUUAACACCAAUUACCCUUACGUUAUUGCUUUGCUGGCAAUGGCAAGAACUCAAUAUCUCCAAAGUUAAAUUGCACACUGGAUACUUAUAUAGCAUUCUGAACAGCAGCCUAAGCUAAUGGCGCGUGUUCCUUUCCUGAGAAGUUUAUAGUCUAAGUGCAGUGCAGUUGCAGGAAAGAAAUGGGAGGCAAAAGCAAAUGCAGUUGCCAACAUUCACAUUUCAUUUUUAGUAGCAAAAAGUUUUAAGAGCCACCCUUAAGGAAAAGAGAAAACAGAUCUGGCAUUAUUGUAACAAGAUGGCCAUGUUUUAAUGGCUAUGCUGCACUCAGAUCACUGAUCAAUUGUUGGUUGAUCAACUGAUUAUUGUUUUGUUAAUUUGGGCUGGAAAAAUAGAGUUUGAAGAAAUUUUAUAAAUGAAAUAUUUUUUAUCAAUGCAAUCAGAGCAAACCAUAUCUGUUUCCACUACCCUCUUCUGUAUUUUCAAAUCACUAACAUAUAAAAGAAGGUAAGAAUUCACAGAGUUGCUGGCCUAUGUGAUAUCAAAAAAUUUUGAAAUUAUUGCCACUUAGGAUUUUGAGGAAAUCAUACUUAAACUGAAAAUUCUAAGGUGAAAGAAAUAUAUUUUUUCCUGUUAAUUGAUAUAAGAUAUACAGGCUACCUUUCAGAUCUUCCAGUAAAUGGGUUCCCCUAUUAUUUUCAAGUUUGAAGUCCUAUGUUGAUUCAUUUAUAGUGCUGCUUAUGAAAAUACGUUGUUGAAAAGCAUUGUGAACUCUCUCUCAUUUAGCUAAACUUCUCUUUGUAACUACCCAUUCGAAUAUCUUUUUCUGUAUCUUGGAUUUAUAAAUGCAUAUUCUUUGACAUGAAGGCUUCAAACACAGGAAAAUCAACAAAUCAAUAUGUAAGGGGCCUAAAAUUGCCCUCUCGCUGUCACGAGGUUUCCAUUUAUUACUACUUAAAGUGAAUGUAUAAACUCAUCCAACACAUUUUCUUAAAGCUCUGAAUCUAUAUCUUCUCGUACCUCCAUCAAUCCUAUUUAAUAUAGAGUUAUGUCUGAGAUGGCAAUCCUAAACAUGCUGCUAAGACAGUAGAAAACAUUACAAGACAGAAGGAUGAAAAAUAGCACUCUUUUCAUUCAACACUCUCCAACAUUCUUUCUGACCUUUUGGAGGUGCGGGGGUGGGGGGCACUAUACUAGCAAUACUGGACAUAUGUGUGACCCAAAUAAAUUCAUUUAAACCUAAAGGGAAAGCAUGAUUGAUUAGUUAAGAGAAAAAACAUUCCACUUGAAAAGUUCCUUGAGACAAGAAAUUCUCAGCUGUGUGAGCCAACAUAUGUUUUAAAUAUUUGCAAGAGAUUACCACUAUAAAUUAACACCGAAAGCUGAUGUUCCUAAUUCUGAUAUAGUCCCGACCCAAUCUGAGAAACAGAUCAUUUGCCUGCUUGUUUAUACAAGUGACAUUCCAGACAGCAAUAGCAGUUCCAAUUUUAUAUUUGGAAAGGAAUCAAAUUGUCCUGCUCAUGAAUCAACAAACCCCAGCAGGUGGCAAUAGAGACACUUCUGCUUUCCCAAAUUUUGAACCUCUGUUGUAUUGACUUAGGUGUGUGCUAUUCUUUCUAGUGCUUUAUAGCUUAUUGUAAAAAAAUAAAUAAAUGUCUAGGCUUUUGUUCAAUAAAA
RNA transcript from Crotalus tigris (Tiger rattlesnake), 7635 nucleotides. It is a transcript of the gene named zinc finger protein 474, with no coding region annotated. NCBI's taxonomy places the organism in Eukaryota, Metazoa, Chordata, Lepidosauria, Squamata, Viperidae. The record is from RefSeq and is a predicted model, not a curated record. The transcript has 6 exons.